Molecule: unclassified non-coding RNA, 520 nt
Filed under: uncultured Glomus
Lineage: Eukaryota; Fungi; Glomeromycota; Glomeromycetes; Glomerales; Glomeraceae
Description: SSU rRNA
Rfam family: Eukaryotic small subunit ribosomal RNA
Source: RNAcentral
AGCAGCCGCGGUAAUUCCAGCUCCAAUAGCGUAUAUUAAAGUUGCUGCAGUUAAAAAGCUCGUAGUUGAAUUUCGGGACCAUCAUGUUGGUCGUGCCUCGGUACGUACUGGCAUUGUUGGUUUCUCCCUUCUGACGAACCAUGAUGUCAUUUAUUUGGUGUCGUGGGAAAUCAGGACUGUUACUUUGAAAAAAAUUAGAGUGUUUAAAGCAGGCUCACGCUUGAAUACAUUAGCAUGGAAUAAUGAAAUAGGACGUUUGAUUCUAUUUUGUUGGUUUCUAGGAUCGACGUAAUGAUUAAUAGGGAUAGUUGGGGGCAUUAGUAUUCAAUUGUCAGAGGUGAAAUUCUUGGAUUUAUUGAAGACUAACUACUGCGAAAGCAUUUGCCAAGGAUGUUUUCAUUAAUCAAGAACGAAAGUUAGGGGAUCGAAGACGAUCAGAUACCGUCGUAGUCUUAACCAUAAACUAUGCCGACUAGGGAUCGGAUGAUGUUAAUUUUUUAAUGACUCAUUCGGCGCCUUA